UACGUAGGUCCCGAGCGUUGUCCGGAUUUAUUGGGCGUAAAGCGAGCGCAGGUGGUUUAAUAAGUCUGAUGUAAAAGGCAGUGGCUCAACCAUUGUGUGCAUUGGAAACUGUUAGACUUGAGUGCAGGAGAGGAGAGUGGAAUUCCAUGUGUAGCGGUGAAAUGCGUAGAUAUAUGGAGGAACACCGGUGGCGAAAGCGGCUCUCUGGACUGUCACUGACACUGAGGCUCGAAAGCGUGGGUAGCAAACAGG
RNAcentral lists this ribosomal RNA (252 nucleotides) under uncultured microorganism. Its description in RNAcentral is "partial 16S ribosomal RNA". It matches the Rfam family "Bacterial small subunit ribosomal RNA", at positions 524 to 776 of the family's 1533-position model. The record is from RNAcentral.